Molecule: long non-coding RNA, 441 nt
Filed under: Olea europaea subsp. europaea
Lineage: Eukaryota; Viridiplantae; Streptophyta; Magnoliopsida; Lamiales; Oleaceae
Source: RNAcentral
GGACAAAUCUAAAAAAAGAAUUUAGCGUAAUGUGUGUGUGUGUGCUGGGUAUCUAAGCUUCUGUUUCCACUAAAUGUGCUUUGCUGCACAUUUGAAAAAGUGUUGUUUAAAUCUCUUCCUAUUAGCCUUAUGUCCGUAUUUAUUAUUUUAUUUGAAUUACAUCAGUAUUAUUGUAGUUUAUUAUCAACUGACAAAUUUUCCCACAUGCUUCCCCUUAAUGUACUAUGUGGUUUUACAUUGAGAGUGAGUUUAGUAGUGUAAUUUUCAACAGUCCACAAAAGACAUAGAAGCCUUUCAAAAGUAGUUCUUUGCUGGUAAUAUUUUUCUAAUUCUAGUACUGGUGUUUUAGCAACUUUAUGAUUUUAACGGUUCGCUAUCGAUACCUUUUGCUUCAACUCUAACUUCAUUUUGUGCUUUCCUUUCUGGACUCUCCCAUCGAUG